RNAcentral lists this ribosomal RNA (185 nucleotides) under Losbanus uichancoi. Its description in RNAcentral is "partial 18S ribosomal RNA". The record is from RNAcentral. Lineage: Eukaryota; Metazoa; Arthropoda; Insecta; Hymenoptera; Eucharitidae.
GACAUGAUUGUGGGACGUCCUACCGGUGGACUCAGGCUCUUUCUCUUCGGAGGGGAGGCGGUCCAGCUAAUAUCCCAUCGCGGUGCUUUUCAUCGAGUGUCGAGGUGGGCCGGUACGUUUACUUUGAACAAAUUAGAGUGCUCAAAGCAGGCCAUCCUCGCCUGAAUACUGUGUGCAUGGAAUAA